This 253-nucleotide ribosomal RNA is filed under the name uncultured bacterium. Its description in RNAcentral is "partial 16S ribosomal RNA". It matches the Rfam family "Bacterial small subunit ribosomal RNA", at positions 524 to 776 of the family's 1533-position model. The record is from RNAcentral.
UACGAAAGGGGCUAGCGUUGUUCGGAAUUACUGGGCGUAAAGCGCACGUAGGCGGCUUGGUAAGUUGGGGGUGAAAUCCCAGGGCUCAACCCUGGAACUGCCUCCAAAACUGCUAGGCUAGAGGAUGCGAGAGGUUGGCGGAAUUCCGAGUGUAGAGGUGAAAUUCGUAGAUAUUCGGAAGAACACCAGUGGCGAAGGCGGCCAACUGGCACAUUUCUGACGCUGAGACGCGAAAGCGUGGGGAGCGAACAGG